RNAcentral lists this ribosomal RNA (199 nucleotides) under uncultured bacterium. RNAcentral describes it as "partial 16S ribosomal RNA". It matches the Rfam family "Bacterial small subunit ribosomal RNA", at positions 326 to 538 of the family's 1533-position model. The record is from RNAcentral.
ACGCUCGACACCUACGGGAAGCAGCAGUGGGGAAUAUUGCACAAUGGGGGAAACCCUGAUGCAGCAACGCCGCGUGAAGGAAGACGGUUUUCGGAUUGUAAACUUCUGUUCUUAGUGAAGAUAGUGACGGUAGCUAAGGAGCAAGCCACGGCUAACUACGUUCACGCAGCCGCGGUAAUCUGAGCGGGCGUGGCAAGGC